CCUACGGGGGGCUGCAGUGAGGAAUCUUCCUCAAUGGGGGAAACCCUGAAGGAGCGACACUGCGUGCAGGAUGAAGGCCCUUUGGGUUGUAAACUGCUUUUGCAGGGGAGAAAUAACCGAAUGGGAUGAUAGUACUCUGCGAAUAAGUCCCGGCUAACUACGUGCCAGCAGCCGCGGUAAUACGUAAGGGGCGAACGUUGCUCGGAAUCACUGGGCGUAAAGGGCCGGUAGGUGGCUUUAUAAGUCGGUUGUCAAAUACCUAUGCUCAACGUGGGAGAGGCGACCGAUACUGUAGAGCUUGAGUAGAGGAUGGGAUGAUGGAAUACCCGGUGUAGGGGUGAAAUCUGUUGAUAUCGGGUAGAACACCGAUGGCGAAAGCGAUCAUCUAGCCUCAUACUGACACUCAACGGCGAAAGCCAGGGGAGCGAACGGGCUUAGAUACCCGAGUAGUC
Molecule: ribosomal RNA, 452 nt
Filed under: uncultured Exilispira sp.
Lineage: Bacteria; Pseudomonadati; Spirochaetota; Spirochaetia; Spirochaetales
Description: bacterial SSU rRNA
Rfam family: Bacterial small subunit ribosomal RNA
Source: RNAcentral